AAAUAUGUAUAUAUCUUUUUUGAAAAUACUACAUUUGAUGAUUUUAUUUUAUUGCAGGAGAACUUGUUGAAAAGCCAUCACCAGUAAUUCUUGCUCCUCAUGAUUUCUGUAACAUCAAAGCAAGUGUUAAAGUUGCAUCAACUGAAAAUGGCAUCAUUUUUGGUAACAUUGUAUAUGAUAUCAGCCAGUGACAGAAGUGUUGUUGUUCUGAAUGAUAUUCACAUUGAUAUUAUGGAUUACAUUAUUCCUUCUACAUGCACCGAUCAGGCAAAUGUGGGCAGAGUUUGAAUGGGAAAACAAAGUGUCUGUCAAUACUACAUUGAAUGAUCUAAAAUGCUAUCUCAUGCGCAUUUGAUUGGAUUUACAAAUAUGAGGUGUCUAACACCAGAAAAGGUAAAGUUCAUUGAUGUUUUCCAAUAGCUGUACUACAUAAGCAGU
Parasteatoda tepidariorum (common house spider) is the source of this 438-nucleotide non-coding RNA. NCBI's taxonomy places the organism in Eukaryota, Metazoa, Arthropoda, Arachnida, Araneae, Theridiidae. The record is from RefSeq and is a predicted model, not a curated record.